UGCUUCAGUUAUUUCCUACGAGCAUAUCUGGCGAUUUAACUGAAAACAUCAGAAGAGCCAUUUUGGCGGUCUUUCAGCAGUAGUGCAAUUUUAGUGGCUGCAGUCUCCACAAUCACCAAAGCACUUGGAAUCCAGCAAUGCAUCUGGACCAACUACAUAGACCUACUACCUCCACUGGAAUAUCAUAGCGCUUGUAACCUGGCUGGUCAUCAAGUUGCUCUUUUAAAUAAUACUCAGCUUCAUUUUGGAUGCUGGUCUUCCUCCAAUCACACAGUCUGGUUACGCUCACUUCCCCGCUGCACUCCAUCUGCCUGCCUCCCUGCCACAGCUUCUGGAGCAGUACAUUUUGGAUUCACUCAGGAGUGAAACCUCACCCAGACCUUUGGACUGCCCUCCUUCCACGCCGUACUCCACCUGCAACCUUGACUCUGCACUUCUUCGCCCGUGUGACAGCCCCUUCUUCCCCCAUUGGACCACUU
This is a long non-coding RNA of Oreochromis aureus, 479 nucleotides long. Lineage: Eukaryota; Metazoa; Chordata; Actinopteri; Cichliformes; Cichlidae. The record is from Ensembl.